AUACGUAGGUGGCAAGCGUUGUCCGGAUUUAUUGGGCGUAAAGCGAGCGCAGGCGGUUUCUUAAGUCUGAUGUGAAAGCCCCCGGCUCAACCGGGGAGGGGCAUUGGAAACUGGGAGACUUGAGUGCAGAAGAGGAGAGUGGAAUUCCAUGUGUAGCGGUGAAAUGCGUAGAUAUAUGGAGGAACACCAGUGGCGAAGGCGACUCUCUGGUCUGUAACUGACGCUGAGGCUCGAAAGCGUGGGGAGCAAACAGGAUUAGAUACCCUGGUAGUCCACGCCGUAAACGAUGAGUGCUAAGUGUUGGAGGGUUUCCGCCCUUCAGUGCUGCAGCUAACGCAUUAAGCACUCCGCCUGGGGAGUACGACCGCAAGGUUGAAACUCAAAGGAAUUGACGGGG
Molecule: ribosomal RNA, 397 nt
Filed under: uncultured bacterium
Lineage: Bacteria
Description: partial 16S ribosomal RNA
Rfam family: Bacterial small subunit ribosomal RNA
Source: RNAcentral